GAUGAACGCUGGCGGCGUGCCUAAUACAUGCAAGUCGAGCGAACAGACGAGGAGCUUGCUCCUCUGCCGUUAGCGGCGGACGGGUGAGUAACACGUGGAUAACCUACCUAUAAUACUGGGAUAACUUCGGGAAACCGGAGCUAAUACCGGAUAAUAUAUUGAACCGCAUGGUUCAAUAGUGAAAGACGGUUUUGCUGUCACUUAUAGAUGGAUCCGCGCCGCAUUAGCUAGUUGGUAAGGUAACGGCUUACCAAGGCAACGAUGCGUAGCCGACCUGAGAGGGUGAUCGGCCACACUGGAACUGAGACACGGUCCAGACUCCUACGGGAGGCAGCAGUAGGGAAUCUUCCGCAAUGGGCGAAAGCCUGACGGAGCAACGCCGCGUGAGUGAUGAAGGUCUUCGGAUCGUAAAACUCUGUUAUUAGGGAAGAACAAAUGUGUAAGUAACUAUGCACGUCUUGACGGUACCUAAUCAGAAAGCCACGGCUAACUACGUG
RNAcentral lists this ribosomal RNA (497 nucleotides) under uncultured bacterium. RNAcentral's name for it is "partial 16S ribosomal RNA". It matches the Rfam family "Bacterial small subunit ribosomal RNA", at positions 28 to 507 of the family's 1533-position model. The record is from RNAcentral.